Molecule: ribosomal RNA, 406 nt
Filed under: uncultured bacterium
Lineage: Bacteria
Description: partial 16S ribosomal RNA
Rfam family: Bacterial small subunit ribosomal RNA
Source: RNAcentral
AUUGAACGCUGGCGGCAGGCCUAACACAUGCAAGUCGAACGAGUGGCGGACGGGUGAGUAAUGUCUGGGAAACUGCCCGAUGGAGGGGGAUAACUACUAGAAACGGUAGCUAAUACCGCAUACCAUCGGAUGUGCCCAGAUGGGAUUAGCUAGUAGGUGGGGUAACGGCUCACCUAGGCGACGAUCCCUAGCUGGUCUGAGAGGAUGACCAGCCAAACUGGAACUGAGACAUGGUCCAGACUCCUACGGGAGGCAGCAGUGGGGAAUAUUGCACAAGGGGCGCAAGCCUGAUGCAGCCAUGCCGCGUGUAUGAAGAAGGCCUUCGGGUUGUAAAGUACUUUCGGCGAGUCGGCGUUAAUCGCAGAAGAAGCCCCGGCUAACUCCGUGCAUGCAGCCGCGGUAAUAC